Centrocercus urophasianus (Greater sage-grouse) is the source of this 5573-nucleotide RNA transcript. It is a transcript of the gene named G-patch domain containing 2, with no coding region annotated. The transcript is spliced from 18 exons. The record is from RefSeq and is a predicted model, not a curated record. NCBI's taxonomy places the organism in Eukaryota, Metazoa, Chordata, Aves, Galliformes, Phasianidae.
UCUGCGAAGCGGCGCCAGCCUCCCUGGGGAGCGGCCGGGGCAGGCGCCGGGUUCAUGUUCCGGGUCGCCGAGCCCAACCCGACCCGAGCUCCGGCAGCGAGGAAGAGCUGGCAUUUCAGUAGGACUAUGGAGGAGCUGGUUCAUGAUUUAGUCUCAGCACUGGAAGAAAGUUCAGAGCAAGCCAGAGGAGGUUUUGCUGAUACUGGAGAUCAUUCUCGAAGUGUCUCUUGUCUUCUGAAGCGGCAGGCAAGAAAAAGGAGGGGACGAAAAAGGCGUUCAUUUACCACUCAUCAUCCCUGGGAGACUGGUCACUGUUUAAGUGAAGGUUCAGAUUCCAGUUUAGAAGAAUCAAGCAAAGAUUACAGGGAGAAUCAUACUAACAAGAAAGACCACAGUGACUCUGAUGACCAGUUGUUGAUUGCUAAACGCAGGCCUUCCUCAAACUUAAAUAACAUUAGAGGCAAAAGACCUCUAUGGCAUGAGCCAGAUCUGGCUGUGGACAAUUUAGGAAACAGAACUUUGCGCAGGAGAAGAAAAGUGAAACGGAUGGCAAUUGAUCUGCCGUCAGAAGUUUCUAAUGCACUGACAAUAACUCAACAGCAGGAUAACAGAGAUCAAGAAAUGGAUAAUGACAAUAAAUCACACCAACAUCAGGAGUUUUCGAAGAGCAAAGUGAAAAAGAGAAAAGUAGCUGCAGUUCGACAAGGACCGGAAAUCUUGGAUGAAGGAGUAGUAAUAGAAAAUGAAGAAAUGAACCAAGCAAAUAAGGACAAAAUGGAGUAUGAGGAGCAAAAGGGCUCAGAUGAGAACAUGAGUGACAGUGAAUCCAGCAGUCUGAGCAGCAGUGAUGCUGGUUUGUUUACCAAUGAUGAGGGAAGACAAGGUGAUGAUGAGCAGAGUGAUUGGUUUCAUGAAAAUGAAUCUGGUGGAGCAUGUGGAAUAACAGGAGUCAUUCCUUGGUGGGAACAAGAAGACUCUACAGAACUGGACAGAGAAUUGCCUGACCCAGUCUUUGAAAGUAUCUUAACUGGUACUUUCCCCCUCAUGUCCCAUUCAGGGAGGAGAGGUUUCCAGAGCAGGUUUAGUCAUCUUCAUGGAAUGCCAGCAAGAAACGCAAAAAAGGCUCCAGGAAACCAAAAUGCAUUGAUAACUCCAGGACCAGGUGGUAGCAGAAAGGCAAUUCACCUGUCCCAGGAUUCUCUUCACCAUGACCAUUGGUUUAGCCCUGGGGCUAGGAAGGAACAUAGCCAGCUCUUGCGAGACAACCGGUCGGACCGAGGACACAAGAAGAACAGCUCUGUAAAAACAGCUAGCAGGCAAACCAGUGUGCAUUUAGGAUCAUUGUGCAUGGGAGACAUCAAACGGAGAAGGAAAGCUGCUCCCCUGCCAGGACCCACAGGGUUUGUAGGUGAAAACACCCAACCAAUCCCAGAAAACAACAUUGGAAACCGAAUGCUUCAGAGCAUGGGCUGGACUCCUGGCACUGGCCUUGGACCAGACGGGAAAGGGAUUGCAGAGCCAAUACGAGCCAUCCAGAGACCAAAAGGACUCGGCCUCGGAUUCAGCUGACAGAAAUGCACUUUGGCUGUCGAGUGAAAGUAAAGAUUGAAAAUAAUUUAAAAAGACAAGAAUUGCAAGCUUGUAUUAUUUGUUAUGAUCAGCAAGUCCAGUUGUUCUUCUCUCAAAGAUCACUGAAGCCUGUGUGCUUCACAUCAGCUACUCCAGCUGCAAGAAAGGCAAUGCUAGGAAAUGUAGCAACAUUAUAACAUGGAAUUUUCUUUAAAAUUUUGUUGAUUCUUUCCAGGAGAAAUAUUUGGAAGAGAUUUCCCUGGAAAAAAAGGCAGAUUUUCAGCACACAAGGAAUAAGAGCUGUCCUUUUGUUCACUGGGAGCCCAGAAUCAGCAGCUGUUUCUUACAGUAAAUACUGAUGGAGGGAAGGAAAAAAGUGAGGGUUUGAAUGUAGUUGGAAGAAGAAAAUCAUGUGAGAUCCUAGCCAAAAUUUCCUGUCUGCUCCAAGUCGGCUGCUCUUCGGUCAGUGCAGGUCUUACAAAUGCAGCCCAGGUGAGGUGUUCCUUGUGGCCACACUGCCAGUAGACCACAUGCCCCCACCUCAUGCCUUUACUCCAGGACUGAUGGCUGCUGACAUAAUGAUCCACAAGCUGGGAUCAGCACCUCUUCCUUAAAAAUUGAUUUAUUUUUGUGGGUUAACAGUUUAUAUGAAGCUUUCUGAUCAUGGCCUGGAUGUUCUUCUGAGAGUCUUCUACAGUAAUUAAUGCUUGUUCUGCUGAAAGUCACUACUUCCAUUUGUGCACUAUCUUGCAACAUUCUGCCUGGAAAACGCAAAUUAUUUGUAUAUUAUGUUCAUUGCCACAGGGAAGGAAGAAGAACCAUGGAGGUAAUAUUUUUUUUCACUUAAUAAUUUUAAGUUGAAUUCAUUAAUUUGUGGAAGAAGGGAUCUGACUGAAGACUUCUGAAAAUUUGGGGUUGGCAGAGCAGGCCUGGAACAUGGAGCAACUCUUCAUUGGGCACAACUGCGCUGUAAGCUGUAAAGGAGGGAGGAAGGUCUGCAGGCCAGCAGAGGGCUGUGCUCAAAUCUUUCUGCCCUCGAGAAGGGUGGGUUGUGGAUUUGCUGUUGUUACUCUGACUUAAUUAUUAAAAUAUUGAAACCUGUUCUCUACAGAUAUUUCAUACAGAUUUACUCUAACAGUGUAAUGACCGGUAUGCCGAUCGUGGUCACAGAUUGGGAUUUUUAUGGAUUCUUUUGCCAUCUUUGAUAUCUGCUAGGAGGCUCUACCUGGUUGCUUUUUACGUGCCCUGACAUGUUCCACAUCCUGCUACCUAUGUUUUGCCUGCCCAGCUCAGUUGAUGCAUUCUGGACGCUAUGGAGAGCAUUGAUGUUUUGAUUACAAAAUAGAACUUCACAAGCCAAGGAGGAGCAUGGAGUUGCCUUCCUGCAGCCUCUCUCACGCUCUUGUGUUCUUCCAUCACGCCCGUUAACAACUACACUAGAAACAAGCAGCAGAUUUUUUUCCACUCGAAGAGAUUUUUCAUGUGCUGAAGGGUAAAGUAACAGAAAAUUUGCAGAAUGGCCACAAGAAUCAUACAUAUCCUGGGGGACAUAUCUGCUAGAGAAAUUACUGGAUGAAGACAUUCACACACAGGAGGACUGGAGGCUGAAGCAAAACAUGAGGACCUGUGUGGCUGCACAAUGACCUUGGAUCAAGAGCGACACUCCAGGUGACACCCCAACCACCUGCAUGGAAGACAAGAGAAACCGUGAUGAGGAUUGAUCCAACAGAGUGUAGUGGCUCCCCUGGAUCUUACAGAGGCCUAUUGAGAUCUAUAGAUUUGUAUUCAAGGACUCCUGAAUAGAUCUCAUGACUGGCCUGACAAACCACGGCUGCUACAAAGGAGACAUUGCCAGACACUGUAAAUCUGUUGCAGACCUCAUGUAGCUGAGCACCGCCUUGCAGGCUGCCCUGCAAGUGCAACGCCACACUCAGGAGCUGAAAGUAAACCCAUGGAGUGCUGGAAGCCAUAUAAACGAUUGGUAAAACAUGCAUAAAGAAGGCAGGCUGAUGAUCUAUGGGAUUUUCUUUGUUGAAGCAACCACAGCCCGAAGCCUGGUCUGUUAAAACAACCCUGCAGCCAGGCAAGGAGACUCAAUCUGCUCAGCAAAAACAAGAGGCCCAUGUCUUUGGAAACCACUCUCAUCUCUCAUCACUCCACAGUACUGGAGAUGCCUUUUGGCUGCGUUAUCAUGGUGUCCCUAGAGGGAUGGCACAACAUGGCUGUAUCCUCAGUGCAUCCCUCUUGGAAGCCUAGCCCAAGCUGCUGUUGCGCUGCAGGAGUGGCAAGCGGUUGCAGGGGGAAAUAACCUUUCUCAUGUUUGGUCUCAUCACAAUGAGGUUGAUGCUUCAAUUUUCUGCUGUAAGGCUGCUUGGGAGAAGAGUUUGGGUACUAAAAAUGGACUUAUUUUUCUGCGUACAAAAACAGAAAGAUGUGUGUUUUCAUUUGGUUGGUGGUUGGACUUGCUGACCUUACUGGUGUUUUCCAACCUUUAUGAUUCUAUGAUAACACUGAUCAUCUCAACCUUGAACAGCCUGUACCAUACCAGAGCAAUACAGAGCCAUCACCAGGUAUUGUUUUAUUCUACUUAUUCCAUCUUUGUUUUUCCCUGUACUUACAACAAUGUAGUUUGCAUCCUGAAUGCAGUUCUUCACUUAGAAUAUAGCAAAUGUUGUCCUGAAAACUGGUAUCACUAAGGUGGAGAUGGAUGUCACACAAUGCCUCUGAGACCAGUUGGCUCACAGUGUUUCCUAAGUAGCUAUGAGGCAUCUCCUGUUCUAGUCGUGUUCAAUUCCCACUUCCCAACCCUAAAGGUCUUUCUGCUUCCUUUCUCAUUAUCUAGAAGCUUUGUUUUUGCCUCUGCUGCUUUCUUUCUUCCUUUAGCCUUCCGAUGUUAAUUUCUUCCUCCCCACAGCUAGACCCAAUCUGGGGAUUUUGCAUGGGUUUUUCCUGGGUGUUCUGCAUACAUACUGAGAAAGCUGUGGAGAAGAGAGAGGAACAUUCAUUCAGUGCUAUGAAGGUUUUACUUGGUGCAAUGGAAAAUAUAAAAAUAAAUAAAUAAAUAAACCUUCCAAUAUACGUGGAAAAAUGCAAGUAGAGCUAAAGCUUGCUAGAGUGCACCAAAAGCACUGCCCCAUAUAAAUUAAAGAUGCUUUGCCAGAGCCAAUAACUUUUAUAGAUUUUUCUUUACCUGUAAUGAAGGAAAAAUAUAAAUGACUAUCAUAAAAAGUAAACAUUAGAAAUAGAAAAUCCCUUUUACAGCAUUCAGUCCAUCUUUCUGCUAAUAACAACUUGUUCCCUAUAGUAUAUUUUUCCAGUGAUUCCUCUAGUCUAGUGUUAAACAUUUCUAGUGUUUCUAGGGCCUUGCUGCUCCCUUGAGAGGCAGUCUGAAAGCCUUGUGCAUUUCAAUGUCAGGAAGUUUUUCUCAGCAACUUCAAUUUUCUCUGUCUGUAUUUCUUCCUGCUAGUGUUAGGAUGUCUCUAUAAUUAGUUCUGUUCAUUUGAAUUUUUUUACUGAUGCUCUUUAGAAGGUAUGUGCAUUGCAAUUCUGUAUCACCGUUUCACAGCUACAAAGCAAGAUUUCCAACUGCGCUUUUUUUCUUAAAUUGUUAUUGAAUUAAUUUAAUUCAUAGGUAGCAUUUCCUUAUUGUUUGCAUUCUAUUUAUAGCAAGAAAACUUAUGGUAUCACCAGGCUUAACACCACUGCUCUUUUAUUUUGAUGGGUAACCAAAUUGCAAGACCCUGACAUCUGCUAUUUUUGAUAAAGGGCCAAUGCUGGUUUCAGAAACAGAAGUGCUUUCAAAGAGAAAAAAAUGCAGACAGAGAUCAAAUAAUGGAAAGCAAAACUUCUAUUAGCAAGUAAUAGAACCCCAAUACAAAAAGGGUGAUAUUUUUCAGAAGAAAACAAAUGAGUAAAAGUGUCUAAUAAAUGAGAAACUUACCUUAUAGAAGAUAGAAUCAUUGGUUGGAAAAGACCACUAAGAUCAUCUAGUCCAUCCAACCACC